CUACGGGAGGCAGCAGUGGGGAAUAUUGGACAAUGGGCGCAAGCCUGAUCCAGCCAUGCCGCGUGAGUGAUGAAGGCCCUAGGGUUGUAAAGCUCUUUCGGCGGGGACGAUAAUGACGGUACCCGCAGAAGAAGCCCCGGCUAACUUCGUGCCAGCAGCCGCGGUAAUACGAAGGGGGCUAGCGUUGUUCGGAAUUACUGGGCGUAAAGCGCACGUAGGCGGGUCGUUAAGUCGGGGGUGAAAUCCUGGGGCUCAACCUCAGAACUGCCUUCGAUACUGGCGACCUUGAGUACGGGAGAGGUGAGUGGAACUGCGAGUGUAGAGGUGAAAUUCGUAGAUAUUCGCAAGAACACCAGUGGCGAAGGCGGCUCACUGGCCCGAUACUGACACUGAGGUGCGAAAGCGUGGGGAGCAAACAGGAUUAGAAACCCGUGUAGUCC
Molecule: ribosomal RNA, 440 nt
Filed under: uncultured bacterium
Lineage: Bacteria
Description: bacterial SSU rRNA
Rfam family: Bacterial small subunit ribosomal RNA
Source: RNAcentral